GGGAAGAUGGCCGAGCGGUCUAAGGCGCUACGUUCAGGCUGAGAUCCAGCAAUGGGUACCAUCCCGAAUUCGUAGUCUAGUAAUAGGCGUGGGUUCGAAUCCCACUCUUCUCA
RNAcentral lists this transfer RNA (113 nucleotides) under Coniochaeta sp. 2T2.1. It matches the Rfam family "tRNA". From Rfam's summary of the family: Transfer RNA (tRNA) molecules are approximately 80 nucleotides in length. Their secondary structure includes four short double-helical elements and three loops (D, anti-codon, and T loops). Lineage: Eukaryota; Fungi; Ascomycota; Sordariomycetes; Coniochaetales; Coniochaetaceae. The record is from Rfam by way of RNAcentral.